Trematomus bernacchii (emerald rockcod) is the source of this 1454-nucleotide long non-coding RNA. RefSeq lists it as uncharacterized. Lineage: Eukaryota; Metazoa; Chordata; Actinopteri; Perciformes; Nototheniidae. The record is from RefSeq and is a predicted model, not a curated record. The transcript has 2 exons.
UGAUGUCCAACAUGAAAGUCACAGAAACCCUUAUAUCCUACAAAUGAAUGGGAAUGGUUCCAAGAAAGGCCGGACGGGCAAACUAUAUCAACUCAGCAAACACAAGGACAUGAAAGCAGCCGCCACCAUAUUCAGCAGAUGGUUUGCCUCUCCCGAUGAAGAGACCAAUAUUACUGAAUCUGCAGUACACUGAGACACUGCUUCACCACGAUUCCCUGUUCAAGCGGAGGGCAGCAACAAUUACUAAGGUCAAGAAUUACAUUCUGUCCAGGCCACAAACAGAGGGGACAUUUUUAAAGCAGCAGAGCCAAACAGAGAACACAAACGGUAAAGUUAAGAAAAUCUUAGAAACCCACAACGUCGGAAAUACCUCCCCACUGCAGUUUAAGUUCCUUCCAUCAGGAUCCAAACAUUAGCCAAUACGAGCAGAUACAAAUUCUCUAUCAAACCAUUUUUUUAAAAGUGCGGGUAGCAUCAGCACAUCUCCAACCAUGCUCGUUUCCCCUUCCUUUCUUUCUUUUUUGCUAAAUGUUGUACUUCCCUUUAUUCACCUUUUACUCUUGUAAUCAUAUGUGGUUUUAUUAAGUCUGACUGUGAAUGUCUUUUUUUGUCUUUAUCUGUUUGUUUCUCUGUCUUUAUUGCUACGGCGGCAGAGCCCUCAGGGACAAUAAAGGAUUUGAACACGAACAAAGAGUAGCAAAAUAUUAUUUCUAAAUCGCUUCUGAUUUAGAAGAUGUACAGUGAAGAGAUAUAAGCGAUGUGGAACAGUUGGUUCGUUGACAGAAUGAGGACCAGAAACAGAUGUAUGUAACCUUAGCUGUGAGGAGUUAUGCAAUGCACAAUGGAGCAAGGCUAAAAGGCAAGACUUUACAUUUAAAGGAGGGGUUUCUGUGUAUGGAGUGUUCAAAGCACUUCUAUCGAAAUGCUCUUCAAAACCACACUGUAAAAAAGGAGCAAAAGAAGAAGUGUGUCAGUGCUCAAGGAAACAUGACCACUUCUGCUUACGCAAGUGGAGGUUUUAUGUUUAACGGGUGACUCAAAUGAUCUUGAACAGCCAAUAUGCACUCAGUGGACACUUCAUUAGGAACACCUGCAGCUAGGGCAUAAAUCCUGCCUUGUCAAAUUUGAUCAUGUUCAGUUUGUCGACAUUAUCAUAUCAUAUAUUUUGACGAUUAUGUAUUUAUUAUUGAGGUCCUAUAUUCAAUUGCAUUGUAUUGAUCUGUGUUUCUAAUUGUCUGCCCACUCCUGUAGCAAAGACCCAACACAUCUCAAGACGAUUUAGUCCAGGCUAACACCACCUAUAACUAUGAGCUUCAUGUUAAAACAUAUAAUACACAUUUAUCAUAAAACUAGACAUACACAUCAAUUGUAAAAUCAAAUCAAACUUUAUUUCAGCAAUAAAUUAGAAAAAACAUCCGAGUGAAUCUUUUGACAACUUCAUCUAGGGAGCCUUA